Molecule: non-coding RNA, 178 nt
Filed under: Anaerolineales bacterium
Lineage: Bacteria; Bacillati; Chloroflexota; Anaerolineae; Anaerolineales
Description: 6S RNA
Rfam family: 6S / SsrS RNA
About the family: E. coli 6S RNA was the first non coding RNA to be sequenced, but its function was unknown until recently. It consists of 184 nucleotides that fold into an extended hairpin structure with a large single-stranded internal bulge. The 6S RNA specifically associates with RNA polymerase holoenzyme containing the sigma70 specificity factor.
Source: RNAcentral
CCUACCCUGCUGUGUGCGUGAUGGGCUUCGCGUCUUGAGCCAACGCCACUUUUAAGGGGAUCGAAAAUGCGCAGAGGGGAUGUAGUAGCCGCAUGGCAAGGCAGAGGCCUCGCGAAAAGAUUCCCACCUGCGAAAGCAGGUUCAAGUACACCUGUCCACACGGCACGGCGGGGCCGGC